Protobothrops mucrosquamatus (brown spotted pit viper) is the source of this 506-nucleotide long non-coding RNA. RefSeq lists it as uncharacterized. The record is from RefSeq and is a predicted model, not a curated record. Lineage: Eukaryota; Metazoa; Chordata; Lepidosauria; Squamata; Viperidae. The transcript has 3 exons.
ACUAAACUUGCAUCAGGGCAACCAUGUUCAUUUAGGCACAAGAAGUUUUGCCUUUAUUAAAACCAGUUCUGUUGGACUCAGUUGUUACCUGGAAUGAAAAGUUAAAAUUGAAAUUCCAAAGACUUCAGUGUGGAAUUGAACAAUCACACUGUUCAAGUUCAAUUUGUAUUUAGCCAUAAAAUGGGACUCCAUCAAAACACCUGUUGAGAAAUAAAGCAGAGGAAGAUUCAUACCUGUUUUUUCAGCCUCCAGCAGAGUUCAACCCUACUCCUUUAUCCAGAUUUUGGACUACUUGCAGUUACUUGUUAACAGUGGGGUAAACAGCAGGAUGUAGAUGAAUGGCAACAAGUCUAAGAAUCUAAUGCUGCUAUGGCUAAUUCUCAGUCAAGAGAGUGGGAGAGAGGAAGGAAGGAAGGAAGGAACGAACGAACGAACGAAGGAACGAAGGAAGGAAGGAAGGAAGGAAGGAACGAAGGAACGAAGGAACGAAGGAACGAAGGAAGGAA